GAUGAACGCUGGCGGCGUGCCUAAUACAUGCAAGUCGAGCGAACAGAUAAGGAGAUUGCUCCUUUGACGUAAGCGGCGGACGGGUGAGUAACACGUGGGUAACCUACCUAUAAGAAUGGAAUAAAUCCGGGAAACCGGGGCUAAUGCAGGAUAACAUUUAGAAAUGCAUGGUUCUAAAGUGAAAGAUGGAUUUGAUAUCACCUAUAGAUGGACCCGCGCCGUAUUAGCUAGUUGGUAAGGUAACGGCUAACCAAGGCAACGAUACGUAGCCGACCUGAGAGGGUGAUCGGCCACACUGGAACUGAGACACGGUCCAGACUCCUACGGGAGGCAGCAGUAGGGAAUCUUCCGCAAUGGGCGAAAGCCUGACGGAGCAACGCCGCGUGAGUGAUGAAGGUCUUCGGAUCGUAAAACUCUGUUAUUAGGGAAGAACAAAUGUUUAAGUAACUGUGCACGUCUUGACGGUACCUAAUCAGAAAGCCACGGCUAACUACGUG
RNAcentral lists this ribosomal RNA (497 nucleotides) under uncultured bacterium. Its description in RNAcentral is "partial 16S ribosomal RNA". It matches the Rfam family "Bacterial small subunit ribosomal RNA", at positions 28 to 507 of the family's 1533-position model. The record is from RNAcentral.